GAUGAACGCUGGCGGCGUGCCUAAUACAUGCAAGUCGAGCGAAGCGGGGACGGGUGAGUAACACGUGGAUAACCUCCUAUAAGACUGGGAUAACCUCGGGAAACCGGAGCUAAUCCGGAGACUUAUCGCAGGAUCCGCGCUGCAUUAGCUAGUUGGUAAGGUAACGGCUUACCAAGGCAACGACGCAUAGCCGACCUGAGAGGGUGAUCAGCCACACUGGAACUGAGACACGGUCCAGACUCCUACGGGAGGCAGCAGUGGGGAAUCUUCCGCAAUGGGCGAAACCCUGACGGAGCAACGCCGCGUGAGUGAUGAAGGUCUUCGGAUUGUAAAGCUCUGUUAGUAGGGAAGCGGUACCUACUCAGAAAGCACCGGCUAACUACGUGCCAGCAGCCGCGGUAAUUC
This 405-nucleotide ribosomal RNA is filed under the name uncultured bacterium. Its description in RNAcentral is "partial 16S ribosomal RNA". It matches the Rfam family "Bacterial small subunit ribosomal RNA", at positions 28 to 526 of the family's 1533-position model. The record is from RNAcentral.